UCCCGCUGUACCUCGCGGCGGCCGGCAUCUACUGGGUGCUGAGCCUCACGUUCGAGGCGUUGCAGCGGCGG
This 71-nucleotide transfer RNA is filed under the name Rhizobacter gummiphilus. Its description in RNAcentral is "tRNA-Ser". The record is from RNAcentral. Lineage: Bacteria; Pseudomonadati; Pseudomonadota; Betaproteobacteria; Burkholderiales; Sphaerotilaceae.